This 253-nucleotide ribosomal RNA is filed under the name uncultured bacterium. RNAcentral describes it as "partial 16S ribosomal RNA". It matches the Rfam family "Bacterial small subunit ribosomal RNA", at positions 524 to 776 of the family's 1533-position model. The record is from RNAcentral.
UACGAAGGGGGCUAGCGUUGCUCGGAAUCACUGGGCGUAAAGCGCACGUAGGCGGACUCUUAAGUCGGUGGUGAAAUCCUGGAGCUCAACUCCAGAACUGCCUUCGAUACUGAGAGUCUCGAGUCCGAGAGAGGUGAGUGGAACUGCGAGUGUAGAGGUGAAAUUCGUAGAUAUUCGCAAGAACACCAGUGGCGAAGGCGGCUCACUGGCCCGGUACUGACGCUGAGGCACGAAAGCGUGGGGAGCAAACAGG